CAGCCGCCGCGGUAAUACCGGCGGCCCGAGUGGCGGUCACUAUUAUUGGGCUUAAAGCGUCCGUAGCCGGGUUGGGAAGUCCUCCGGGAAAUCUGGCCGCUUAACGGUCAGAAUGCCGGAGGAUACUCCCAGCCUAGGGAGCGGGAGAGGCCGAGGGGAUUCCCGGAGGAGGGGUGGAAUCCUAUAAUCCCGGGAGGGCCACCUGUGGCGAAGGCGCUCGGCUGGAACGCGUCCGACGGGGAGGGACGAAGGCCAGGGGAGCAAACCGGAUUAGAUACCCGGGUAGUCCUGGCUGUAAACGAUGCGGACUUUGUGUCGGACAAGCUAUGAGCUUGUCCGGUGCCGGAGGGAAACCGUUAAGUCCGCCGCCUGGGGAGUACGGCCGCAAGGCUGAAACUUAAAGGAAUUGGCGGG
Molecule: ribosomal RNA, 414 nt
Filed under: uncultured microorganism
Description: bacterial SSU rRNA
Rfam family: Archaeal small subunit ribosomal RNA
Source: RNAcentral